RNAcentral lists this ribosomal RNA (1446 nucleotides) under Campylobacter jejuni. RNAcentral describes it as "partial 23S ribosomal RNA". It matches the Rfam family "Bacterial large subunit ribosomal RNA", at positions 1 to 1317 of the family's 2925-position model. The record is from RNAcentral. Lineage: Bacteria; Pseudomonadati; Campylobacterota; Epsilonproteobacteria; Campylobacterales; Campylobacteraceae.
AAAAAAGGUAAGCUACUAAGAGCGAAUGGUGGAUGCCUUGACUGGUAAAGGCGAUGAAGGACGUACUAGACUGCGAUAAGCUACGGGGAGCUGUCAAGAAGCUUUGAUCCGUAGAUUUCCGAAUGGGGCAACCCAAUGUAUAGAGAUAUACAUUACCUAUAUAGGAGCGAACGAGGGGAAUUGAAACAUCUUAGUACCCUCAGGAAAAGAAAUCAAUAGAGAUUGCGUCAGUAGCGGCGAGCGAAAGCGCAAGAGGGCAAACCCAGUGCUUGCACUGGGGGUUGUAGGACUGCAAUGUGCAAGAGGUAAGUUUAGCAGAACAUUCUGGAAAGUAUAACCAUAGAGGGUGAUAGUCCCGUAUGCGAAAAACAAACCUUAGCUAGCAGUAUCCUGAGUAGGGCGGGACACGAGGAAUCCUGUCUGAAUCCGGGUCGACCACGAUCCAACCCUAAAUACUAAUACCAGAUCGAUAGUGCACAAGUACCGUGAGGGAAAGGUGAAAAGAACUGAGGUGAUCAGAGUGAAAUAGAACCUGAAACCAUUUGCUUACAAUCAUUCAGAGCCCUAUGUAGCAAUACAGGGUGAUGGACUGCCUUUUGCAUAAUGAGCCUGCGAGUUGUGGUGUCUGGCAAGGUUAAGCAAACGCGAAGCCGUAGCGAAAGCGAGUCUGAAUAGGGCGCUUAGUCAGAUGCUGCAGACCCGAAACGAAGUGAUCUAUCCAUGAGCAAGUUGAAGCUAGUGUAAGAACUAGUGGAGGACUGAACCCAUAGGCGUUGAAAAGCCCCGGGAUGACUUGUGGAUAGGGGUGAAAGGCCAAUCAAACUUCGUGAUAGCUGGUUCUCUCCGAAAUAUAUUUAGGUAUAGCGUUGUGUCGUAAUAUAAGGGGGUAGAGCACUGAAUGGGCUAGGGCAUACACCAAUGUACCAAACCCUAUCAAACUCCGAAUACCUUAUAUGUAAUCACAGCAGUCAGGCGGCGAGUGAUAAAAUCCGUCGUCAAGAGGGAAACAACCCAGACUACCAGCUAAGGUCCCUAAAUCUUACUUAAGUGGAAAACGAUGUGAAGUUACUUAAACAACCAGGAGGUUGGCUUAGAAGCAGCCAUCCUUUAAAGAAAGCGUAAUAGCUCACUGGUCUAGUGAUUUUGCGCGGAAAAUAUAACGGGGCUAAAGUAAGUACCGAAGCUGUAGACUUGCACACAACUUAGAUUAUUUAAGUUUAGAAUAUGAGAAACUAAGUUAUAUGUUUAGUUAUAUUUUUACUGAUUUUUAUAGAGUAAAGAUAGAAAUAAAACUUAGUAAAAUCAGUAAAAAUAUUCUUAGACUAAAGUUAAGUAGUUUAAGUUGUGUGCAAGUGGUAGGAGAGCGUUCUAUUUGCGUCGAAGGUAUACCGGUAAGGAGUGCUGGAGCGAAUAGAAGUGAGCAUGCAGGCAUGAGUAGCGAUAAUU